This 782-nucleotide ribosomal RNA is filed under the name uncultured bacterium. RNAcentral describes it as "bacterial SSU rRNA". It matches the Rfam family "Bacterial small subunit ribosomal RNA", at positions 28 to 802 of the family's 1533-position model. The record is from RNAcentral.
GACGAACGCUGGCGGCGUGCCUAAUACAUACAAGUCGAGGACAGAUGGGAGCUUGCUCCCUGAUGUUAGCGGCGGACUGGUGAGUAACACGUGUGUACCUGCCUGUAAGACUGGGAUAACUCCGGGAAACCGGGGCUAAUACCGGAUGCUUGUCUGAACCGCAUGGUUCAGACAUAAAAGGUGGCUUCGGCUACCACUUACAGAUGGACCCGCAGCGCAUUAGCUAGUUGGUGAGGUAACGGCUCACCAAGGCGACGAUGCGUAACCGACCUGAGAGGUGAUCGGCCACACUGGGACUGAGACACGGCCCAGACUCCUACGGGAGGCAGCAGUGAAUCUUCCGCAAUGGACGAAAGUCUGACGGAGCAACGCCGCGGGAGUGAUGAAGGUUUUGGAUCGUAAAGCUCUGUUGUUAGGGAAGAACAAGUGCCGUUCAAAUAGGGCGGCACCUUGACGGUACCUAACCAGAAAGCCACGGCUAACUACGUGCCAGCAGCAGCGGUAAUACGUAGUGGCAAGCGUUGUCCGGAAUUAUUGGGCGUAAAGGGCUCGCAGGCGGUUUCUAAAGUCUGAUGUGAAAGCCCCCGGCUCAACCGGGGAGGGUCAUUGGAAACUGGGGAACUUGAGUGCAGAAGAGGAGAGUGGAAUUCCACGUGUAGCGGUGAAAUGCGUAGAGAUGUGGAGAAACACAGUGGCGAAGGCGACUCUCUGGUCUGUAACUGACGCUGAGGAGCGAAAGCGUGAGGAGCGAACAGGAUUAGAUACCCUGGUAGUCCACGCCG